This 90-nucleotide transfer RNA is filed under the name Bacteroidales bacterium. RNAcentral describes it as "tRNA-Ser". It matches the Rfam family "tRNA". From Rfam's summary of the family: Transfer RNA (tRNA) molecules are approximately 80 nucleotides in length. Their secondary structure includes four short double-helical elements and three loops (D, anti-codon, and T loops). Lineage: Bacteria; Pseudomonadati; Bacteroidota; Bacteroidia; Bacteroidales. The record is from RNAcentral.
GGAGAGGUGGCCGAGUGGUUGAAGGCGGCGGUCUCGAAAACCGCUGUGUCCGUUAGGGCACCGGAGGUUCGAAUCCUCCUCUCUCCGCCA